This 83-nucleotide transfer RNA is filed under the name Loktanella sp. PT4BL. RNAcentral describes it as "tRNA-Leu". It matches the Rfam family "tRNA". Rfam says of the family: Transfer RNA (tRNA) molecules are approximately 80 nucleotides in length. Lineage: Bacteria; Pseudomonadati; Pseudomonadota; Alphaproteobacteria; Rhodobacterales; Roseobacteraceae. The record is from RNAcentral.
GCCCCCUUGGUGGAAUGGUAGACAUCAGGGACUUAAAAUCCCUUGGCCGCAAGGCCGUGCCGGUUCGAGUCCGGCAGGGGGCA